UACAGAGGGUGCAAGCGUUAAUCGGAAUUACUGGGCGUAAAGGGCGCGUAGGUGGUUGCGUAAGUGAGUUGUGAAAUCCCCGGGCUCAACCUGGGAAUUGCAUCUGUGACUGUAUAGCUAGAGUACGGUAGAGGGGGAUGGAAUUCCGCGUGUAGCAGUGAAAUGCGUAGAUAUGCGGAGGAACACCGAUGGCGAAGGCAAUCCCCUGGACCUGUACUGACGCUCAUGCACGAAAGCGUGGGGAGCAAACAGG
RNAcentral lists this ribosomal RNA (253 nucleotides) under uncultured bacterium. Its description in RNAcentral is "partial 16S ribosomal RNA". It matches the Rfam family "Bacterial small subunit ribosomal RNA", at positions 524 to 776 of the family's 1533-position model. The record is from RNAcentral.